GACGAACGCUGGCGGCGUGCUUAACACAUGCGAGUCGAACGGAAAGGCCCUGCUUUUGUGGGGUGCUCGAGUGGCGAACGGGUGCGUAACACGUGAGUAACCUGCCCUUGACUUUGGGAUAACUUCAGGAAACUGGGGCUAAUACCGGAUAGGAGCUCCUGCUGCAUGGUGGGGGUUGGAAAGUUUCGGCGGUUGGGGAUGGACUCGCGGCUUAUCAGCUUGUUGGUGGGGUAGUGGCUUACCAAGGCUUUGACGGGUAGCCGGCCUGAGAGGGUGACCGGCCACAUGGGGACUGAGAGACGGCCCAGACUCCUACGGGAGGCAGCAGUGGGGAAUAUUGCACAAUGGGCGGAAGCCUGAUGCAGCAACGCCGCGUGCGGGAUGACGGCCUUCGGGUUGUAAACCGCUUUCGCCUGUGACGAAGCGGGAGUGACGGUAAUGGGUAAAGAAGCACCGGCUAACUACGUG
RNAcentral lists this ribosomal RNA (468 nucleotides) under uncultured bacterium. RNAcentral's name for it is "partial 16S ribosomal RNA". It matches the Rfam family "Bacterial small subunit ribosomal RNA", at positions 28 to 507 of the family's 1533-position model. The record is from RNAcentral.